This 24-nucleotide non-coding RNA is filed under the name Arabidopsis thaliana (thale cress). The record is from RNAcentral. Lineage: Eukaryota; Viridiplantae; Streptophyta; Magnoliopsida; Brassicales; Brassicaceae.
UCAAAACGUGGCAAGAAAAGAUGC